Tympanuchus pallidicinctus (lesser prairie-chicken) is the source of this 255-nucleotide long non-coding RNA. RefSeq lists it as uncharacterized. NCBI's taxonomy places the organism in Eukaryota, Metazoa, Chordata, Aves, Galliformes, Phasianidae. The transcript has 3 exons. The record is from RefSeq and is a predicted model, not a curated record.
UGACUGCCACAGGGGAAGAUUUCUUCCUGGAGAAUUCUCUGGUGGAGCUUUCCUCUGUGAACCUGGAAUCUUCUGAUAUGGGUGCCAAGCAUUUAAUGAUGUUGCAGCUAAUCGUGCAAAGGUCCUUCUUUGAGAGACUUAAUGAUACUCCACCAUCUGUGUGACAAGAGAGGGGACUCCACAUUGCGUUGCAUUCUUUGCGAGAGCUUCUAGAGGAACACCAAAUGCUCGUUCUCUGCUGAACUGUGGAUCUGG